This 1189-nucleotide non-coding RNA is filed under the name Caenorhabditis japonica. RNAcentral's name for it is "Eukaryotic large subunit ribosomal RNA". It matches the Rfam family "Eukaryotic large subunit ribosomal RNA", at positions 987 to 2119 of the family's 3401-position model. The record is from Rfam by way of RNAcentral. Lineage: Eukaryota; Metazoa; Nematoda; Chromadorea; Rhabditida; Rhabditidae.
ACUCUUGCAGUUAUAUUCGGUAAAGCUAAUGAUUAGAGGCCUUGGGGGACGUAAUGUCCUCAACCUAUUCUCAAACUUUCAAUGGAUAUGGCGUCGCAGUUUCUUUAGUGAACUGCGGCGUGAAUGCGAGUUCCAAGUGGGCCAUUUUUGGUAAGCAGAACUGGCGCUGUGGGAUGAACCAAACGUGGAGUUAAGGUGCCUAACUUCUCGCUUAUGAGACCCCAUAAAAGGUGUUGGUUGAUAUUGACAGCAGGACGGUGGCCAUGGAAGUCGGUACCCGCUAAGGAGUGUGUAACAACUCACCUGCCGAAUCAACUAGCCCUGAAAAUGGAUGGCGCUUAAGCGAGAGACCUAUACUCCGCCGUCGCGGCAUGUGCGUUGUCUAGCGCCAGGUCGCGACGAGUAGGAAGGACGUGGCGGUUGCGUUGAAGGCUAUGAGCGUAGGCUCGGCUGGAGCUUCCGUCAGUGCAGAUCGUAAUGGUAGUGGCAAAUAUUCAAGUUCGAUCCUUGAAGACUGAAGUGGAGAAGGGUUCCACGUGAACAGUAGUUGGAUGUGGGUCAGUCGAUCCUAAGGUACUGGCGAAAGCCUUGUAUCAUCGGUGGCGAAAAGCUUGCUUUUUGUCCCCGCCCGUCGAAAGGGAAUAGGGUUAAUAUUCCCUAACUGAGAUGCAAAGAUUGUGUUCUUCGGAGCACAAGCGCGGUAACGCGUUCGAACUUGGUAAGUCGCUCAGAGACCGAGCUAGAGUUUUCUUCUCUAGUUAAGGAACGGACUCCCUGGAAUUGGUUCAGCCAGAGAUAGAGACGUUGUUUCCGAAAAGCACCGCGGUUUCUGUGGUGUCUCGUGCUCUCUGAACGGCCCUUUAAACACCAAGGGAGGCUAUUAAUUUGCACUCAAUCGUACCGAUAUCCGCAUUAGGUCUCCAAGGUGAACAGCCUCUAGUCGAUAGAAUAAUGUAGGUAAGGGAAGUCGGCAAACUAGAUCCGUAACUUCGGGAAAAGGAUUGGCUCCAGUGGUCGGAACGGUUGGCCAGUUGGUUGAUGCUUGUCCGGCGCUGUUCUGUCUGCUUGAUGCUUUCGGGCUGAUGGCGGCCUAGUGAUAGUGCUUGCUUGUUGACGCUUUCUGGUGUGUGCUUUGACCUCGGUCUUAGUAUCCUGAUCGUUCAUCUAAACGACUAAACUGGAACCGGUA